GACGAACGCUGGCGGCGUGCUUAACACAUGCAAGUCGAACGGAAAGUCCCUUCUUUUGUGGGGUGCUCGAGUUGCUUACUGGUGAUUAACACGUGAGUAACCUGCCCUUGACUUUGGUAUAACUUCAGGAAACUGGGGCUAAUACCGGUUAGGAGCUCCUGCUGCAUGGUGGGUGUUGGAAAGUUUCGGCGGUUGGGGAUUGGCUCGCGGCUUAUCAGCUUGUUGGUGGGGUAGUGGCUGACCAAGUCUUUGACGGGUAGCCGGCCUGAGAGGGGGACCGGCCACAUUGGGACUGAGAUACGGCCCAGACUCCUACGGGAGGCAGCAGUGGGGAAUAUUGCAGAAUGGGCGGAAGCCUGAUGAAGCAACGCCGCGUGCGGGAUGACGGCCUGCGGGUGGUAAACCGAUUUCGCCUGUGACGAAGAGUGAGUGGCGGUAAUGGGUAAAGAAGCAACGGCUAACUACGUG
Molecule: ribosomal RNA, 468 nt
Filed under: uncultured bacterium
Lineage: Bacteria
Description: partial 16S ribosomal RNA
Rfam family: Bacterial small subunit ribosomal RNA
Source: RNAcentral